Molecule: unclassified non-coding RNA, 158 nt
Filed under: uncultured Dothideomycetes
Lineage: Eukaryota; Fungi; Ascomycota; Dothideomycetes
Description: sequence contains ITS2
Source: RNAcentral
CUACCUCGAGCUUCAGGCUUGUUGUUGGGUACCGCCCGUGAGGGCGCACUUCAAAUCCAUUGGCGCCUCUGACGGCCCCCAAACGCAUAGAGCUUAACCGCCCGCGUUUGGAGGCCUGAUAGGGGGUGGCCUCUUUGCCUGCGUGCAGCUUCCCUAGC